CUGGCAGCGCCCAUAUGGCAUGGGAAGAAAAGCCUGCAACGGAAUGCAUUGAUGGUCUGGUAGGGAGCGACAGGACGAAGUUGACGGCUUCCACUCUAUUUCCGAGAGAACGAGAUCUUGGUUAUAUUAUCAGAAGUUUGUGCAUGAUCAUCUUAUAAUCUACUUCCAGUGAGUGCUUUCGUCACAGAAGAAGUGAAAGAAAAACUCAUAGCUGCCACGCUCGUUACGAAGAACUAUAGAAAUUUUAUUAGGAACUCCAUCUCCAAGCUCAUCCAUUGUUGGUUUGUCACAUCUUGGGUUCCACGUCAAUCUGGAAACUACCAGGUCGUCAUAUAUAAUUUGAUAUCGUGUCGCACUCA
Molecule: long non-coding RNA, 359 nt
Organism: Selaginella moellendorffii
Lineage: Eukaryota; Viridiplantae; Streptophyta; Lycopodiopsida; Selaginellales; Selaginellaceae
Exons: 2
Source: RefSeq, a predicted model, not a curated record